CUGAGUUCUUGCCCUUCGGGGUAGAUCUCUCACCCUAUGUUUUUUUACUCUUGUUGCUUUGGCGGGACGCUCAGUCUGACUGACUACUGGCUUCGGCUAGUAAGUGCCCGCCAGAGGACCCCAUAUUCUAUGUAUAUCUGUCGUCUGAGUACUAUAUAAUAAGUUA
Molecule: unclassified non-coding RNA, 166 nt
Filed under: uncultured Helotiales
Lineage: Eukaryota; Fungi; Ascomycota; Leotiomycetes; Helotiales
Description: sequence contains ITS1
Source: RNAcentral